UGGAUUCUUCUAUAUAUGAUAUUCAAUAUAUUUAUCUAUUUUUAUGAAAGGUAUUUUUAGGAUUUUUUUCAGUACUUUAUUAAGUUGUGUUCAAUUGUAUUGAUUUUUAUUUUUAUUUACAGAACCUGGAUUUUUUUAUUCUUAAACCAAGGAUUCUUCGGAAGCCAAGUUGCCAUAAAUUUAAAUUGAUCUAUCUAAUUUUGUUUCAAAAUAUUCAAAUUUUAAUUCAUUUCAUUUUAUAUUUUUUUUCAGAACUUGGAUUUUAUUUUUUUGAUUCAAACUUAAGAAAGUGUCUUUCAAGAUCUAGAACUUGGAUAUUUUUUUUGGAUCGACCCAAAACAAUUUUCCUCCGGGAGCCGGGGAUCCCCUUUUCGUUUCUAUUUUUGAACCUGACACAUUGAAUAUUUAAUGAACUUGGAUUUUUAUCAUUUCAAUCUAAAGGAGGUGUCCUUCGAGAGCCGGAACUUGGAUUUUCCUUUGUUUCAACCUAAACAUAGUGUGUUUCGAGAGCCAGAACUUGGAUUUUUUUUUUGGAUCGACCCAAAUCAAUUUUCCUCCGGGAGCCGGGGAUCCCCUUUUCGUUUCUUCUUUUGACCUCGUCACUUUAAAUAUUUUAUGGUAUGUUUCGUUUCAGAACUUGGAUUUCUUAUCGUCUCAACCUAUAGGAGAUGGCCUUUGAGCGCUGGGUAACCAUUUAUAAUUUAUUUUUGUUGAAUUUUAUACAUUAAAUAUUUAAUGGAAUAAAAAUCAAAUUCAUUUAAUUCACAUAAAAAAUCUUAGUAAAUCUAAUAUGUUUGUUUUCAAAACUUGGAUUUUUCUUUGUUGCUACAUAAUGAAAUUGUCCGUCUAGAACUAUGAACCAGUUAAUUUUUUUUGAUUUUUAUACCAUCAAUAGAUAAUGGAAUAAUAAUUUAAUUCAUUUAACUUACAUAAAAUAUCUUAAAUCUUAACUAAUUAGAAUAUACUCUUUAAAUCCCGUUCAUAAUUAUGAUGUAUAAUUAAAUUUAAAAAUUAUCACUCUAAUUGUAUUUAAAAACUAGUUUAUUUACCUGCCUUCGCACGGGACAUUCUUGGCUGUGGCGUAGGUUGUUUAUUACCCUACUUUAUUUAAAUCCAUUGUUGGUGUAACUGUUGGUGGUUAUUUAACAAAUAUAAUAUUUCAAAUGAAUCGGUAUAAUUGUUUUGGUGGUACGCUGAAUUACUGUAUUUGCUGGUUCCAAUAUUUUUAAAAUCCCUUCUUAUUCCAUGUAUUGAAUAUUGGAUAGAUCACCAUUCAAAUUUAAACUUCAUAUUGUUUUGAGAUGUAGUGAUGAUCAGUGAAUGAGUUAUACCUGUCUUUGCCCAUUAAGAAAAUUUUGAGUUUUCAACUGCUUUUGGGUGUACUCAUACAACCUAUGCCUUUUCAAAUAUAAAUCACCCGAAAUAACGGUUGAAAUAAUAUUUUGUUAUGUAUUUUAAUAUGUAAAUAUUAAAUAUUGCCAUAUCUAUCACGCCUUGCUGUGCUAUAUUUAGACAUAUACUUAUUAACUUACAGCAAUGUUUAAUUUAUUUUGGAUCAUUAUUUUUUUUAUUUAAUCAUUUUAUCGAGAAGUCUGACAAUUCGAGGUUUCAAAUAUAUGCUAUUUAUUGUAGUGUAUUUGGAUUACACUAUAAUUGAUGUUUUUCCUUUUGUAGUGUGAACAAAGUAAAUAGGAAGAUUUUCUGAUGCAUUAGCAGGACACACACAGUUGUCCAUUUGAGAAGCAUGAAUUUUCAAAAUUCAGUUCACAUAUUUGUUUUAAUUAUCCUUGUGUUUUGUUAAUGAUCAUUGCAAAAUUGAGUCGCGCUGGAAACUGCGAUUUUAAUAAUUUUCAUAAUUCUUA
Molecule: long non-coding RNA, 1862 nt
Filed under: Sipha flava (yellow sugarcane aphid)
Lineage: Eukaryota; Metazoa; Arthropoda; Insecta; Hemiptera; Aphididae
Description: uncharacterized LOC112693377
Source: RNAcentral